RNAcentral lists this ribosomal RNA (460 nucleotides) under uncultured bacterium. Its description in RNAcentral is "partial 16S ribosomal RNA". It matches the Rfam family "Bacterial small subunit ribosomal RNA", at positions 338 to 795 of the family's 1533-position model. The record is from RNAcentral.
CCUACGGGUGACUGCAGUGAGGAAUAUUGGUCAAUGGGCGAAAGCCUGAACCAGCCAAGUCGCGUGAGGGAUGACGGCCCUAUGGAUUGUAAACUUCUUUUAUAUGGGAGUAAACCACGGUACGCAUACCCUCUUGUAUGUACCCUAUGGAUAAGGCUGGUGUAACGCCGUGCCAGCAGCCGCGGUAAUACGGAGGGACCGGGCGUUAACCGGAUUUAAUGGGUUUAAAGGGAGCGUAGGGGGAUUGUUAAGGCAGGUGUGAAAGUGUGGGGCCCAAACGUAGAAUUGCAGUUGAAACUGGCAGUCUGGAGUGAAGGAGAGGUGGGCGGAAUUCGUGGUGUAGCGGUGAAAUGCUUAGAUAUCACGAAGAACUCCGAUUGCGAAGGCAGCUCACUGGAGUGCAACUGACACUGAGGCUCGAAAGUGUGGGUAUCAAACAGGAUUAGAUACCCCUGUAGUC